UGCGGAAUUGUGUAACGGCAGCACGACAGACUCUGACUCUGUUUGUCUAGGUUCAAAUCCUAGUUCCGCAGCCA
RNAcentral lists this transfer RNA (74 nucleotides) under Oscillospiraceae bacterium. RNAcentral describes it as "tRNA-Gln". It matches the Rfam family "tRNA". From Rfam's summary of the family: Transfer RNA (tRNA) molecules are approximately 80 nucleotides in length. Their secondary structure includes four short double-helical elements and three loops (D, anti-codon, and T loops). Further hydrogen bonds mediate the characteristic L-shaped molecular structure. tRNAs have two regions of fundamental functional importance: the anti-codon, which is responsible for specific mRNA codon recognition, and the 3' end, to which the tRNAs corresponding amino acid is attached (by aminoacyl-tRNA synthetases). tRNAs cope with the degeneracy of the genetic code in two manners: having more than one tRNA (with a specific anti-codon) for a particular amino acid; and 'wobble' base-pairing, i.e. permitting non-standard base-pairing at the 3rd anti-codon position. Lineage: Bacteria; Bacillati; Bacillota; Clostridia; Eubacteriales; Oscillospiraceae. The record is from RNAcentral.